CCUACGUGAUGCAGCAGUGAGGAAUAUUGGUCAAUGGGCGCGAGCCUGAACCAGCCAAGUAGCGUGAAGGAUGACUGCCCUACGGGUUGUAAACUUCUUUUAUAAAGGAAUAAAGUGAGGCACGUGUGCCUUUUUGUAUGUACUUUAUGAAUAAGGAUCGGCUAACUCCGUGCCAGCAGCCGCGGUAAUACGGAGGAUCCGAGCGUUAUCCGGAUUUAUUGGGUUUAAAGGGAGCGUAGAUGGGUUGUUAAGUCAGUUGUGAAAGUUUGCGGCUCAACCGUAAAAUUGCAAUUGAUACUGGCAGUCUUGAGUACAGUUGAGGUAGGCGGAAUUCGUGGUGUAGCGGUGAAAUGCUUAGAUAUCACGAAGAACUCCGAUUGCGAAGGCAGCUUACUAAACUGCCACUGACAUUGAUGCUCGAAAGUGUGGGUAUCAAACAGGAUUAGAUACCCCAGUAGUC
RNAcentral lists this ribosomal RNA (460 nucleotides) under uncultured bacterium. Its description in RNAcentral is "partial 16S ribosomal RNA". It matches the Rfam family "Bacterial small subunit ribosomal RNA", at positions 338 to 795 of the family's 1533-position model. The record is from RNAcentral.